AGUGAACGCUGGCGGUAGGCCUAACACAUGCAAGUCGAACGGCAGCACAGUAAGAGCUUGCUCUUACGGGUGGCGAGUGGCGGACGGGUGAGGAAUACAUCGGAAUCUACUUUUUCGUGGGGGAUAACGUAGGGAAACUUACGCUAAUACCGCAUACGACCUACGGGUGAAAGCAGGGGAUCUUCGGACCUUGCGGGAAUGAAUGAGCCGAUGUCGUAUUAGCUAGUUGGCGGGGUAAAGGCCCAGCAAGGCGACGAUCCGUAGCUGGUCUGAGAGGAUGGUCGGCCACACUGGAACUGAGACACGGUCCAGACUCCUACGGGAGGCAGCAGUGGGGAAUAUUGGACAAUGGGCGCAAGCCUGAUCCAGCCAUACCGCGUGGGUGAAGAAGGCCUUCGGGUUGUAAAGCCCUUUUGUUGGGAAAGAAAAGCAGCAGGUUAAUACCCCGCUGUUCUGACGGUACCCAAAGAAUAAGCACCGGCUAACUUCGUG
RNAcentral lists this ribosomal RNA (492 nucleotides) under uncultured bacterium. RNAcentral's name for it is "partial 16S ribosomal RNA". It matches the Rfam family "Bacterial small subunit ribosomal RNA", at positions 29 to 507 of the family's 1533-position model. The record is from RNAcentral.